Molecule: unclassified non-coding RNA, 1117 nt
Organism: Actinia tenebrosa (Australian red waratah sea anemone)
Lineage: Eukaryota; Metazoa; Cnidaria; Anthozoa; Actiniaria; Actiniidae
Source: RefSeq, a predicted model, not a curated record
GUGAGAAGGUGAUGAACGAGGAGCAAGAUGAGCAAAGAUAUCGUGUAAGAAUACGAAUUUUUGAAUUCAUAUGAAGUUAAUAUGGCGUUCCCUGGAAGAUUAAUCUAAAAAGAAGCUUUAUGAGAUGAAGUGCACCGUUCAAGUAGAAAAUUUCCAGUGCCCAUGUUGUUUCUUAUUGUUAUCAAUGGAUCCAUACAACACUUGCUCAAGGCAAUCGAUUUGCCUGUAGUUGGCGGCGGCACAACAACGACACUGUAAAGAUUUAGAGGCAUCAAUUGUUCUGCUCUUACAACUAGACUUUUUCUGCCAACAAGAAACGCUGUCGUUGCUAUCAAGCAUGGCACAAAAUAGCCUUCACUUGAGCUACAUGAUUGUGCAACGUUUCUCACGUAAUCUUCUACUUCUUUACUAAUCAGAUUCGAAUAACAGAAUGGCAUUGAAAUAAGCCUUUAUGAAGCUCUGCCCAAGUACUUUCAUGUGGUCUGUUGAUCUUUUGAAGCUUCGACUGCGACAUAACUGAGGAACGGAACUUGGCGUUGAAAGAGAUAAAAUUAAGUAUUUCAGUGGCCGGGUAGUGUAAAGUUAUACCGAGAAAUUGUUUGUACUGUGUUAGGAAUUAUAAUUUACACAAAUUACGGUUACAUAAAUUAUAGUUUGCUCUUCGAUCUCAUGCUAACGACGUGUAGCUAGAGCACUAUUACUAUCAGUGAGACCUUACUUAGUUCCCUGGACUGUAUCUACAAUGCGCAAAACUCUGGGGAAAGAUUUCCAUGUGUUUUAGAUGACUGGAUUCUUUAAUCCUCAGGAAUACUUGACAACCAUGAGAAAGUAGUCUCUCGUGCGCACAAACACUGGGCACUAGACUGCGUAGUCCUACACAAUGACGUCACACGGUUCUCAAAGAUGAUAUCACAAGUCCCCCAACUGAAGGUGUCUACGUGCAUGGAUUGUGUCUAGAUGGAGCAGGAUCAGGGUUCGACGAAGCUGUAAGCUGAUAGAACCUGCAUUUAAAGUCCGCUUCUCCUCUAUACCUGUGGUUCAUAAUUAUGCGAACAACUCUACCGCGGUAAGGGACAAUCGAUUGUACCAUUGUCCUAUUUAUAAGAAGCAGCGACGC